UACCAAGUAAAGAACAAAGCACCUGCGCU
Molecule: non-coding RNA, 29 nt
Filed under: Mus musculus (house mouse)
Lineage: Eukaryota; Metazoa; Chordata; Mammalia; Rodentia; Muridae
Source: RNAcentral